Long non-coding RNA from Cottoperca gobio, 1034 nucleotides. RefSeq lists it as uncharacterized. The record is from RefSeq and is a predicted model, not a curated record. The transcript has 4 exons. Lineage: Eukaryota; Metazoa; Chordata; Actinopteri; Perciformes; Bovichtidae.
CUCUCGCAGACACUUCAGUAUGAAUGGUGGAGCUGCAUGGGACAUCCCUUGUGCAGCAAUUAAAGUUAUGGAGGACAGACAGACAGAGAGGGAGAGAGGGAGAGAGGGGGCUCGCACAUGGUUUGCUAGAUGUUCAAGAUGAUUUUUAUCCCGCAGUGCAAAAGUUUGAAAGUGAAAGAAAACUUGUCAGUGUUGGUGCUUAGUGCGCGCCUCACAAAUGUUGACCGAGUUGAAAAAGAAAAGAAGUGCAAAGUUUGCGCCUGACCGCCAGUGAUGUGGGUUUGCAGUGAAGACUUUCUGAUGAAGAGCAGGAUGAAGACUGACAAACUGGACGAAGGCAGAGGAUUGAGAAACGUCUCACUGCAGGACUAUCAGGCUGGUUUCCACCACACUCACACAUCCUGACAGCAGAUAGGGGAAACAAAGCUCAACCGUUGAGAUGUUGCUGAGUCAGCCAUGACAUCAUCAUGAGAUGUGUGAGCGGCGACCACAGGCAGCGACAGACGAGGAGCGCUCUGUGUCGUGGUUUGCAGCUGCUGGUUCUUGGCAAAAUAAAAGUGCUGUGCUGUUGCCUCAGGGAAAAAUGUUCUCAAAUGUUGAAAGGAAGAACAAAUUCAAGAGGUUUUGAAAAAGGGCAGUAAGUAAGUUUUUUAUUUUUGUUGUUAUUGUUGCAUUGCUCCAAAUGACCAUAAAACACCUGCAGGAGGUUAAUCGUGUCGUUAAUUGUGCAGGUGCUGAGGUUUUUUAGCUUUCCCGACUCUUUCCGGCUUGUGGGCUGUUUUGGCUCCAAACUCUCCACACCCAGUGAAGUCAUGCUGUUGAAAUCCCAGCUUGUGGUGAACGCAGCAAGUAACACGAGUCACAUGUUACUCAACCUCUGGAGUAACAUCUUUCUCUUUAGAGGCGAGCUGAGAAAGCCAGUUAUUAAUAUUUGAGUGAUUUCCAGGCCUCCGUAGACUUUUGUAUUUUGUCUCUUAGAUUGAUCUGCUGUACUUGUGUGUAUAAAUAAUUAAACUAUAUUUUUACAACCAUGA